Molecule: ribosomal RNA, 722 nt
Filed under: uncultured microorganism
Description: bacterial SSU rRNA
Rfam family: Bacterial small subunit ribosomal RNA
Source: RNAcentral
UCGAGCGAUGAAACUUCUUCGGAAGUGGAUUAGCGGCGGACGGGUGAGUAACACGUGGGCAACCUGCCCUAUAGAGGGGAAUAGCCUUCCGAAAGGAAGAUUAAUACCCCAUAAGAUUGUAGCUUCACAUGGAGCAGCAAUUAAAGGAGCAAUCCGCUAUAGGAUGGGCCCGCGGCGCAUUAGCUAGUUGGUGAGGUAACGGCUCACCAAGGCGACGAUGCGUAGCCGACCUGAGAGGGUGAUCGGCCACAUUGGGACUGAGACACGGCCCAGACUCCUACGGGAGGCAGCAGUGGGGAAUAUUGCACAAUGGGGGAAACCCUGAUGCAGCAACGCCGCGUGAGUGAUGAAGGCCUUCGGGUUGUAAAGCUCUGUCUUUGGGGACGAUAAUGACGGUACCCAAGGAGGAAGCCACGGCUAACUACGUGCCAGCAGCCGCGGUAAUACGUAGGUGGCAAGCGUUGUCCGGAUUUACUGGGCGUAAAGGGAGCGUAGGCGGACUUUUAAGUGGGAUGUGAAAUACUCGGGCUCAACCUGAGUGCUGCAUUCCAAACUGGAAGUCUAGAGUGCAGGAGGGGAAAGUGGAAUUCCUAGUGUAGCGGUGAAAUGCGUAGAUAUUAGGAAGAACACCGGUGGCGAAGGCGACUUUCUGGACUGUAACUGACGCUGAGGCUCGAAAGCGUGGGGAGCGAACAGGAUUAGAUACCCUGGUAGUCCACGCC